Molecule: ribosomal RNA, 253 nt
Filed under: uncultured bacterium
Lineage: Bacteria
Description: partial 16S ribosomal RNA
Rfam family: Bacterial small subunit ribosomal RNA
Source: RNAcentral
UACAGAGGUCCCGAGCGUUGUUCGGAUUCACUGGGCGUAAAGGGUACGUAGGCGGUGAGGUAAGUCGGAUGUGAAAUCUCCGGGCUCAACCCGGAAAUGGCAUUGGAAACUACCUUGCUAGAGGAUUUGAGGGGGGAUUGGAAUACUUGGUGUAGCAGUGAAAUGCGCAGAUAUCAGGAGGAACACCAAUGGCGAAGGCAGCUCGCUGGGACGGUACUGACGCUGAGGCGCGAAAGCGUGGGGAGCAAACAGG